AAAAAAGGUAAGCUACUAAGAGCGAAUGGUGGAUGCCUUGACUGGUAAAGGCGAUGAAGGACGUACUAGACUGCGAUAAGCUACGGGGAGCUGUCAAGAAGCUUUGAUCCGUAGAUUUCCGAAUGGGGCAACCCAAUGUAUAGAGAUAUGCAUUACCUAUAUAGGAGCGAACGAGGGGAAUUGAAACAUCUUAGUACCCUCAGGAAAAGAAAUCAAUAGAGAUUGCGUCAGUAGUGGCGAGCGAAAGCGCAAGAGGGCAAACCCAGUGCUUGCACUGGGGGUUGUAGGACUGCAAUGUGCAAGAGCUGAGUUUAGCAGAAUAUUCUGGAAAGUAUAGCCAUAGAGGGUGAUAGUCCCGUAUGCGAAAAACAAAGCUUAGCUAGCAGUAUCCUGAGUAGGGCGGGACACGAGGAAUCCUGUCUGAAUCUGGGUCGACCACGAUCCAACCCUAAAUACUAAUACCAGAUCGAUAGUGCACAAGUACCGUGAGGGAAAGGUGAAAAGAACUGAGGUGAUCAGAGUGAAAUAGAACCUGAAACCAUUUGCUUACAAUCAUUCAGAGCCCUAUGUAGUAAUACAGGGUGAUGGACUGCCUUUUGCAUAAUGAGCCUGCGAGUUGUGGUGUCUGGCAAGGUUAAGCAAACGCGAAGCCGUAGCGAAAGCGAGUCUGAAUAGGGCGCUUAGUCAGAUGCUGCAGACCCGAAACGAAGUGAUCUAUCCAUGAGCAAGUUGAAGCUAGUGUAAGAACUAGUGGAGGACUGAACCCAUAGGCGUUGAAAAGCCCCGGGAUGACUUGUGGAUAGGGGUGAAAGGCCAAUCAAACUUCGUGAUAGCUGGUUCUCUCCGAAAUAUAUUUAGGUAUAGCGUUGUGUCGUAAUAUAAGGGGGUAGAGCACUGAAUGGGCUAGGGCAUACACCAAUGUACCAAACCCUAUCAAACUCCGAAUACCUUAUAUGUAAUCACAGCAGUCAGGCGGCGAGUGAUAAAAUCCGUCGUCAAGAGGGAAACAACCCAGACUACCAGCUAAGGUCCCUAAAUCUUACUUAAGUGGAAAACGAUGUGAAGUUACUUAAACAACCAGGAGGUUGGCUUAGAAGCAGCCAUCCUUUAAAGAAAGCGUAAUAGCUCACUGGUCUAGUGAUUUUGCGCGGAAAAUAUAACGGGGCUAAAGUAAGUACCGAAGCUGUAGACUUGACUUUGUCAAGUGGUAGGAGAGCGUUCUAUUUGCGUCGAAGGUAUACCGGUAAGGAGUGCUGGAGCGAAUAGAAGUGAGCAUGCAGGCAUGAGUAGCGAUAAUUAAUGUGAGAAUCAUUAACGCCGUAAACCCAAGGUUUCCUACGCAAUGCUCGUCAUCGUAGGGUUAGUCGGGUCCUAAGUCGAGUCCGAAAGGGGUAGACGAUGGCAAAUUGGUUAAUAUUCCAAUACCAACAUUAGUGUGCGAUGGAAGGACGCUUAGGGCUAAGGGGGCUAGCGGAUGGAAGUGCUAGUCUAAGGUUGUAGGAGCUUAUACAGGCAAAUCCGUAUAAGAACACUCCGAGAACUGAAAGGCUUUUUGAAGUCUUCGGAUGGAUAGAAGAACCCCUGAUGCCGUCGAGCCAAGAAAAGUUUCUAAGUUUAGCUAAUGUUGCCCGUACCGUAAACCGACACAGGUGGGUGGGAUGAGUAUUCUAAGGCGCGUGGAAGAACUCUCUUUAAGGAACUCUGCAAAAUAGCACCGUAUCUUCGGUAUAAGGUGUGGUUCGCUUCGUAUUAGGAUUUGACUUCGAAAGCGAAGAAACUUACAACAAAGAGUCCCUCCCGACUGUUUACCAAAAACACAGCACUCUGCUAACUCGUAAGAGGAUGUAUAGGGUGUGACGCCUGCCCGGUGCUCGAAGGUUAAUUGAUGGGGUUAGCAUUAGCGAAGCUCUUGAUCGAAGCCCGAGUAAACGGCGGCCGUAACUAUAACGGUCCUAAGGUAGCGAAAUUCCUUGUCGGUUAAAUACCGACCUGCAUGAAUGGCGUAACGAGAUGGGAGCUGUCUCAAAGAGGGAUCCAGUGAAAUUGUAGUGGAGGUGAAAAUUCCUCCUACCCGCGGCAAGACGGAAAGACCCCGUGGACCUUUACUACAGCUUGACACUGCUACUUGGAUAAGAAUGUGCAGGAUAGGUGGGAGGCUUUGAGUAUAUGACGCCAGUUGUAUAUGAGCCAUUGUUGAGAUACCACUCUUUCUUAUUUGGGUAGCUAACCAGCUUGAGUUAUCCUCAAGUGGGACAAUGUCUGGUGGGUAGUUUGACUGGGGCGGUCGCCUCCCAAAUAAUAACGGAGGCUUACAAAGGUUGGCUCAGAACGGUUGGAAAUCGUUCGUAGAGUAUAAAGGUAUAAGCCAGCUUAACUGCAAGACAUACAAGUCAAGCAGAGACGAAAGUCGGUCUUAGUGAUCCGGUGGUUCUGUGUGGAAGGGCCAUCGCUCAAAGGAUAAAAGGUACCCCGGGGAUAACAGGCUGAUCUCCCCCAAGAGCUCACAUCGACGGGGAGGUUUGGCACCUCGAUGUCGGCUCAUCGCAUCCUGGGGCUGGAGCAGGUCCCAAGGGUAUGGCUGUUCGCCAUUUAAAGCGGUACGCGAGCUGGGUUCAGAACGUCGUGAGACAGUUCGGUCCCUAUCUGCCGUGGGCGUAAGAAGAUUGAAGAGAUUUGACCCUAGUACGAGAGGACCGGGUUGAACAAACCACUGGUGUAGCUGUUGUUCUGCCAAGAGCAUCGCAGCGUAGCUAAGUUUGGAAAGGAUAAACGCUGAAAGCAUCUAAGCGUGAAGCCAACUCUAAGAUGAAUCUUCUCUAAGCUCUCUAGAAGACUACUAGUUUGAUAGGCUGGGUGUGUAAUGGAUGAAAGUCCUUUAGCUGACCAGUACUAAUAGAGCGUUUGGCUUAUCUUUAAUAAAGCAU
This 2924-nucleotide ribosomal RNA is filed under the name Campylobacter sp. US18a. RNAcentral describes it as "23S ribosomal RNA". It matches the Rfam family "Bacterial large subunit ribosomal RNA". Lineage: Bacteria; Pseudomonadati; Campylobacterota; Epsilonproteobacteria; Campylobacterales; Campylobacteraceae. The record is from RNAcentral.